CAUGAAUAUAUGAAUAUCUGCCCCUAGUGUUUUAGGUUCCGGUAAAACACCAUUGUCCAUAUAAUAAAAUAUACUUUGGUUCCUCUUGGUGUGUAAUGUUUGCAUGCCGUAUUUUCAAUUCCAGGUUAUUUUUUGACGUCCUUUUGUCUAUAUUGUUGUGGGAAUUUAAAUGUUUAAUUAAUCACUUAUGUACUGAAGCAUUGCGUUGUAUUUCAUCUGCUUCCAAAACAGCGACGUGUAGCC
Molecule: non-coding RNA, 243 nt
Organism: Paramuricea clavata
Lineage: Eukaryota; Metazoa; Cnidaria; Anthozoa; Malacalcyonacea; Plexauridae
Source: the annotation of a GenBank genome assembly